Molecule: long non-coding RNA, 240 nt
Organism: Belonocnema kinseyi
Lineage: Eukaryota; Metazoa; Arthropoda; Insecta; Hymenoptera; Cynipidae
Exons: 2
Source: RefSeq, a predicted model, not a curated record
CUAAAAUUAAUUCUAAUUCAAUCUGAUGGUUUAGAGAAGUAUCAAACAAAUAUUUCGAGAUGUCAUCUUUUCAGUUGGAUGUUGUCCUAUACAUAUAUUAUUGGUAUCACCUGUGAAGGAAAAUACGCAUGACAAACGCUUUUCUCGUGCGAUACAGUGGAACGCCAUCAUAUUGAUAAUAUAGUUCUACCUAUAAAAAUUGUAAACAAUUUUUCUAUGAAUAAAGAAGUUUAAUUUAAA